GACGAACGCUGGCGGCGUGCUUAACACAUGCAAGUCGAGCGGUAAGGCCCUUUCGGGGGUACACGAGCGGCGAACGGGUGAGUAACACGUGGGUGACCUGCCCUUAGCUCUGGGAUAAGCCUGGGAAACUGGGUCUAACACCGGAUAUGACUCCAUGACGCAUGUUGUGGGGUGGAAAGCCUUGUGCGGCUAGGGAUGGGCCCGCGGCCUAUCAGCUUGUUGGUGGGGUGANGGCCUACCAAGGCGACGACGGGUAGCCGGCCUGAGAGGGCGACCGGCCACACUGGGACUGAGACACGGCCCAGACUCCUACGGGAGGCAGCAGUGGGGAAUCUUGCGCAAUGGGCGAAAGCCUGACGCAGCGACGCCGCGUGGGGAUGACGG
This 384-nucleotide ribosomal RNA is filed under the name uncultured bacterium. RNAcentral describes it as "bacterial SSU rRNA". It matches the Rfam family "Bacterial small subunit ribosomal RNA", at positions 28 to 414 of the family's 1533-position model. The record is from RNAcentral.